This 253-nucleotide ribosomal RNA is filed under the name uncultured bacterium. Its description in RNAcentral is "partial 16S ribosomal RNA". It matches the Rfam family "Bacterial small subunit ribosomal RNA", at positions 524 to 776 of the family's 1533-position model. The record is from RNAcentral.
CACGUAGGGCGCAAGCGUUGUCCGGAAUUAUUGGGCGUAAAGAGCUCGUAGGCGGUCUGUUGCGUCCGCUGUGAAAACUCGGGGCUUAACCCCGAGCCUGCAGUGGAUACGGGCAGACUAGAGGUAGGUAGGGGAGAAUGGAAUUCCCGGUGUAGCGGUGAAAUGCGCAGAUAUCGGGAGGAACACCGAUGGCGAAGGCAGAUCUCUGGGCCGUAACUGACGCUGAGGAGCGAAAGCGUGGGGAGCGAACAGG